GGGUCGUAGGACACAUUAAUUGACCGAGAUGAGGGACUUGCACCCUAUCAUUAGCGGCGGACGGGCUGAGUAAUGCUUAGGAAUCUGCCAUUUAGUGGGGGACAACAUUCCGAAAGGAAUGCUAAUACCGCAUACGUCCUACGGGAGAAAGCAGGGGAUCUUCGGACCUUGCGCUAAAUGAUGAGCCUAAGUCGGAUUAGCUAGUUGGUGGGGUAAAGGCCUACCAAGGCGACGAUCUGUAGCGGGUCUGAGAGGAUGAUCCGCCACACUGGGACUGAGACACGGCCCAGACUCCUACGGGAGGCAGCAGUGGGGAAUAUUGGACAAUGGGCGGAAGCCUGAUCCAGCCAUGCCGCGUGUGUGAAGAAGGCCUUUUGGUUGUAAAGCACUUUAAGCGAGGAGGAGGCUACCUGGAUUAAUACUCUGGGAUAGUGGACGUUACUCGCAGAAUAAGCACCGGCUAACUCUGUGCCAGCAGCCGCGGUAAUACAGAGGGUGCGAGCGUUAAUCGGAUUUACUGGGCGUAAAGCGUGCGUAGGCGGCUGAUUAAGUCGGAUGUGAAAUCCCUGAGCUUAACUUAGGAAUUGCAUUCGAUACUGGUCAGCUAGAGUAUGGGAGAGGAUGGUAGAAUUCCAGGUGUAGCGGUGAAAUGCGUAGAGAUCUGGAGGAAUACCGAUGGCGAAGGCACCAUCUGGCCUAAUACUGACGCUGAGGUACGAAAGCAUGGGGAGCAAACAGGAUUAGAUACCCUGGUAGUCCAUGCCGUAAACGAUGUCUACUAGCCGUUGGGGCCUUUGAGGCUUUAGUGGCGCAGCUAACGCGAUAAGUAGACCGCCUGGGGAGUACGGUCGCAAGACUAAAACUCAAAUGAUUGCGGGGGGCCCGCACAAGCGGUGGAGCAUGUGGUUUAUUCGAUGCAACCGAAACCUUACCUGGCCCUUGACCAUACUAAAAAACUUUUCCAAAAAUGGGAUUGGGUUGCCCUUCGGGAAUUAAAUACCAGGUGCUGCUGGGCUUUCUCCCUCUUUCCUUGAAAUGUUGGGGUUUAUUCCCCCAACGAACCGCACCUUUUUCUU
Molecule: ribosomal RNA, 1076 nt
Filed under: Acinetobacter sp. Hi7
Lineage: Bacteria; Pseudomonadati; Pseudomonadota; Gammaproteobacteria; Moraxellales; Moraxellaceae
Description: bacterial SSU rRNA
Rfam family: Bacterial small subunit ribosomal RNA
Source: RNAcentral